Oncorhynchus tshawytscha (Chinook salmon) is the source of this 406-nucleotide long non-coding RNA. The record is from Ensembl. Lineage: Eukaryota; Metazoa; Chordata; Actinopteri; Salmoniformes; Salmonidae.
AGAGGGAGAGGAGAAGAGAGGCAGAGGAGAAGAGAGGGAGAGGCAGAGGAGAAGAGAGGGAGAGGCAGAGGAGAAGAGAGGGAGAGGCAGAGAGAGAAGAGAGGCAGAGGAGAAGAGAGGGAGAGGCAGAGGAGAAGAGAGGCAGAGGAGAAGAGAGGGAGAGGCAGAGGAGAAGAGAGGGAGAGGCAGAGGAGAAGAGAGGCAGAGGAGAAGAGAGGGAGAGGCAGAGGAGAAGAGAGGCAGAGGAGAAGAGAGGGAGAGGCAGAGGAGAAGAGAGGGAGAGGCAGAGGAGAAGAGCGGGAGAGGGAGAGGAGAGGUGUCAUCAGCCCCGGUGGAGAGACCUCCCUCAGCCUGCCUGCCGCAAUCUCUCCCCAACACCUGCUCCAGCUCCAGAUGAGAUCAGCAG